AUCAAAAUUCCGUGCUUCUUAAUAUUCCCAUAUUGAUUCAAAUAUUAUAAAUUUAUGGAAUGUAAAGAAGUAUGGAGUUUUGAU
This 84-nucleotide microRNA precursor is filed under the name Sarcoptes scabiei. RNAcentral describes it as "mir-1 microRNA precursor family". It matches the Rfam family "mir-1 microRNA precursor family". Rfam says of the family: This family represents the microRNA (miRNA) mir-1 family. miRNAs are transcribed as ~70nt precursors (modelled here) and subsequently processed by the Dicer enzyme to give a ~22nt product. In this case the mature sequence comes from the 3' arm of the precursor. The extents of the hairpin precursors are not generally known and are estimated based on hairpin prediction. Lineage: Eukaryota; Metazoa; Arthropoda; Arachnida; Sarcoptiformes; Sarcoptidae. The record is from Rfam by way of RNAcentral.